GUCCACGCCGUAAACGAUGAUCACUCGCUGUUAGCGAUACACAGUUAGCGGCUAAGCAAAAGCAUUAAGUGAUCCACCUGGGGAGUACGGCCGCAAGGCUGAAACUCAAAAGGAAUUGACGGGGGCCCGCACAAGCGGAGGAACAUGUGGUUUAAUUCGAUGAUACGCGAGGAACCUUACCUGGGCUUAAAUGUUGAGUGCAUGAGGUAGAAAUACUUCUUCCCUUCGGGGCUCUCAGCAAGGUGCUGCAUGGUUGUCGU
This 260-nucleotide ribosomal RNA is filed under the name uncultured bacterium. Its description in RNAcentral is "partial 16S ribosomal RNA". It matches the Rfam family "Bacterial small subunit ribosomal RNA", at positions 793 to 1055 of the family's 1533-position model. The record is from RNAcentral.